RNAcentral lists this ribosomal RNA (454 nucleotides) under uncultured bacterium. RNAcentral describes it as "bacterial SSU rRNA". It matches the Rfam family "Bacterial small subunit ribosomal RNA", at positions 340 to 786 of the family's 1533-position model. The record is from RNAcentral.
UACGGAAGGCAGCAGUGGGGAAUAUUGCACAAUGGGCGCAAGCCUGAUGCAGCCAUGCCGCGUGUAUGAAGAAGGCCUUCGGGUUGUAAAGUACUUUCAGUCGUGAGGAAGGUGUUAAGGUUAAUAACCUUAGCAAUUGACGUUAGCGACAGAAGAAGCACCGGCUAACUCCGUGCCAGCAGCCGCGGUAAUACGGAGGGUGCGAGCGUUAAUCGGAAUUACUGGGCGUAAAGGGCACGCAGGCGGUUAAUUAAGUUGGAUGUGAAAUCCCCGGGCUUAACCUGGGAAUGGCAUUCAAGCUGGUUAGCUAGAGUCUUGUAGAGGGGGUAGAAUUCCAUGUGUAGCGGUGAAAUGCGUAGAGAUGUGGAGGAAUACCGGUGGCGAAGGCGGCCCCUGGACAAAGGACUGACGCUCAUGUGCGAAAGCGUGGGGAGCGAAACAGGGAUUAGAUACC